This is a long non-coding RNA of Pantherophis guttatus, 589 nucleotides long. RefSeq lists it as uncharacterized. NCBI's taxonomy places the organism in Eukaryota, Metazoa, Chordata, Lepidosauria, Squamata, Colubridae. The record is from RefSeq and is a predicted model, not a curated record.
GGUGGCAGAAUAGGGUAAGAUGAAGUGGUAAAAAUGUACAACUUUCAAAUAUAAAUAAAUCAGAAGUACUUGUAAAAAAAUAAAUAUCACUGAGUUUAUAUGGUGAUUUCCACAGGCAGGAUGCUAGAGAUUUGUUGGCAUUCAGUUACAGAUCUCAGGUUGGAUUCUUAUUCCAGAAUUAGCACUAUAUUUGUGAGAACUGUUACUAAGAGUUGGUGUUAAUGAAGAGUCCAGCAGAUGGUGGUGUGUAGCUGCAGAAUGAUUGGAGCAGACAUUAGACUAUUCAGACCUUUGCUUUCUGGAAGAAUCUGAAGGAAAUGCUGAAGCUGGAUCAGGAUCGCUCUUCCAAAUAAAGUAAAAUGGGGGACUGCAUCCUGGAAUCUCUGGAGUUACCCUGCUAUGCUGCUGUAGAGGUCAGAGAGUCAAAUCCUUUAACAUCUACUGGGAAAUUCAUCUGGGUUUUUAAUUAGCUAGGAAGACUUUUUCCACAGUAUUCUUUACUGAAAAAAAAUGAAUCAUUUAUUUAAUAACAAAAAUACACAUAUUUGGCUACCUUUACUUAUUCUAAAUAAACAUGCUGUUAUCAGGA